Molecule: ribosomal RNA, 301 nt
Filed under: uncultured bacterium
Lineage: Bacteria
Description: partial 16S ribosomal RNA
Rfam family: Bacterial small subunit ribosomal RNA
Source: RNAcentral
CAGCCGCCGCGGUAAUACGAAGGGGGCUAGCGUUGCUCGGAAUGACUGGGCGUAAAGGGCGCGUAGGCGGAUGGCACAGUCAGAUGUGAAAUUCCCGGGCUUAACCUGGGGGCUGCAUUUGAUACGUGUUGUCUAGAGUGAGGAAGAGGGUUGUGGAAUUCCCAGUGUAGAGGUGAAAUUCGUAGAUAUUGGGAAGAACACCGGUGGCGAAGGCGGCAACCUGGUCCUUGACUGACGCUGAGGCGCGAAAGCGUGGGGAGCAAACAGGAUUAGAUACCCCAGUAGUCCCUGUCUCUUAUAC